Molecule: small nucleolar RNA, 83 nt
Organism: Hemicordylus capensis (graceful crag lizard)
Lineage: Eukaryota; Metazoa; Chordata; Lepidosauria; Squamata; Cordylidae
Product: small nucleolar RNA MBII-202
Exons: 1
Source: RefSeq, a predicted model, not a curated record
UGAUGAAAAUUCUCCGGAAUCGCUGUACAGCAUUGAUGAUUCUUCUGAACCCCUUUAAGCUGAUGGCUGUAGCUUUUGUCACU